Molecule: ribosomal RNA, 1232 nt
Filed under: metagenome
Description: bacterial SSU rRNA
Rfam family: Bacterial small subunit ribosomal RNA
Source: RNAcentral
UAGCUAGUUGGUGAGGUAACGGCCCACCAAGGCGACGAUCGGUAGCCGGACUGAGAGGUUGAGCGGCCACAUUGGGACUGAGACACGGCCCAGACUCCUACGGGAGGCAGCAGUGGGGAAUAUUGCACAAUGGGGGAAACCCUGAUGCAGCGACGCCGCGUGGAGGAAGAAGGUCUUCGGAUUGUAAACUCCUGUUGUUGAGGAAGAUAAUGACGGUACUCAACAAGGAAGUGACGGCUAACUACGUGCCAGCAGCCGCGGUAAAACGUAGGUCACAAGCGUUGUCCGGAAUUACUGGGUGUAAAGGGAGCGCAGGCGGGCGAUCAAGUUGGAAGUGAAAUCCAUGGGCUCAACCCAUGAACUGCUUUCAAAACUGGUCGUCUUGAGUAGUGCAGAGGUAGGCGGAAUUCCCGGUGUAGCGGUGGAAUGCGUAGAUAUCGGGAGGAACACCAGUGGCGAAGGCGGCCUACUGGGCACCAACUGACGCUGAGGCUCGAAAGUGUGGGUAGCAAACAGGAUUAGAUACCCUGGUAGUCCACACCGUAAACGAUGAUUACUAGGUGUUGGGAGAUUGACCCUCUCAGUGCCGCAGUUAACACAAUAAGUAAUCCACCUGGGGAGUACGACCGCAAGGUUGAAACUCAAAGGAAUUGACGGGGGCCCGCACAAGCAGUGGAGUAUGUGGUUUAAUUCGACGCAACGCGAAGAACCUUACCAAGUCUUGACAUCCCUUGACGAUGCUGGAAACAGUAUUUCUCUUCGGAGCAAGGAGACAGGUGGUGCAUGGUUGUCGUCAGCUCGUGUCGUGAGAUGUUGGGUUAAGUCCCGCAACGAGCGCAACCCUUAUGGUCAGUUACUACGCAAGAGGACUCUGGCCAGACUGCCGUUGACAAAACGGAGGAAGGUGGGGAUGACGCCAAAUCAUCAUGCCCUUUAUGACUUGGGCUACACACGUACUACAAUGGCGUUAAACAAAGAGGAGCAAGACCGCGAGGUGGAGCAAAACUCAGAAACAACGUCCCAGUUCGGACUGCAGGCUGCAACUCGCCUGCACGAAGUCGGAAUUGCUAGUAAUCGUGGAUCAGCAUGCCACGGUGAAUACGUUCCCGGGCCUUGUACACACCGCCCGUCACACCAUGAGAGCCGGGGGGACCCGAAGUCGGUUGUCUAACCGCAAGGAGGACGCCGCCGAAGGUAAAACUGGUGAUUGGGGUGAAGUCGUAACAAGGUAG